GAGUGGUGGGCCCUCGGAGUCGGUUUACAGAAGCAGACUACAAAUCACCUCAAGCGGCAUUGAUAAAGAGCUAGUCGUGAGCGUUGAAGAAAAAGGAGUAAUGAAAAUGUAAGGU
Leptospira weilii str. Ecochallenge is the source of this 115-nucleotide non-coding RNA. The record is from Rfam. Lineage: Bacteria; Pseudomonadati; Spirochaetota; Leptospiria; Leptospirales; Leptospiraceae.